RNAcentral lists this ribosomal RNA (489 nucleotides) under uncultured bacterium. RNAcentral describes it as "bacterial SSU rRNA". It matches the Rfam family "Bacterial small subunit ribosomal RNA", at positions 903 to 1397 of the family's 1533-position model. The record is from RNAcentral.
AAAUGAAUAGACGGGUACCCGCACAAGCGGUGGAGCAUGCUGUUUAAUUCGAAGAUACGCGAAGAACCUUACCAAGAUUUGACAUCCCAGGCAAAGCUAUAGAAAUAUAGUGGAGGUUACCCUGGUGACAGGUGGUGCAUGGUUGUCGUCAGCUCGUGUCGUGAGAUGUUCGGUUAAGUCCGAUAACGAGCGCAACCCUUAUCUCUAGUUGCUAACAGUUAGGCUGAGGACUUUAGAGAGACUGCCGGUGAUAAACCGGAGGAAGGUGGGGAUGACGUCAAAUCAUCAUGCCCCUUACAUCUUGGGCUACAGGCGUGCUACAAUGGUUGGUACAAAGGGUCGCAAAACCGCGAGGUCUAGCUAAUCCCCAAAACCAAUCUCAGUUCGGAUUGGAGUCUGCAACUCGACUCCAUGAAGUUGGAAUCGCUAGUAAUCCUGAAUCAGAAUGUCAGGGUGAAUACGUUCCCGGGUAUUGUACACACCGCCCGU